CUGCUUCAUUGCUACUUCAAGUCCUCGUCAACGGUCGGAUUUUUACAAGGAAAACAAAUUCAAUUGAAUGUUUUCAAGUCAUUCUAUGAAAGGAGAGACUAUCUUAUACAGCUAUAUAGCGUGCGAUAAGAUUCACGAGGGCGCAUUGAGCAUUGCAAUUUUUUAUCCCACAAGGAGCUAUCGAGAACUAAUAUACUGGAUUAAGAACAGCUCAUAACUAUUGCUGAUUAAAUUACACAGAUGGGAAAUAUUUGUUUAGAUUAAAGGGCAGGGAAUAGAACUCUUCACUCCUUGUAUCACCCUUGUAUGAUCGGAAUUUG
Molecule: long non-coding RNA, 320 nt
Filed under: Populus trichocarpa (black cottonwood)
Lineage: Eukaryota; Viridiplantae; Streptophyta; Magnoliopsida; Malpighiales; Salicaceae
Description: long non-coding RNA (PTRI_LNC003481)
Source: RNAcentral